AGCUCUGUAUAGCCGAUGGUGAGCACCUCGUUCGGGACGAGGGGGCCGCAGGUUCAAAUCCUGUCAUCC
RNAcentral lists this transfer RNA (69 nucleotides) under Gloeomargaritaceae cyanobacterium C42_A2020_066. RNAcentral describes it as "tRNA-Pro". The record is from RNAcentral. Lineage: Bacteria; Bacillati; Cyanobacteriota; Cyanophyceae; Gloeomargaritales; Gloeomargaritaceae.